AAACCAGCACCUCAAGUGGUCAGGAUGAUUAUUGGGCCUAAAGCAUCCGUAGCCUGCUUUGCCAGUUUUCGGUUAAAUCCAUACGCUUAACGUAUGGACUGCCGGAAAUACUACAAAGCUAGGGAGUGGGAGAGGUAGACGGUACUCGGGAGGAAGUGGUAAAAUGCUUUGAUCUCUCGAUGACCACCUGUGGCGAAGGCGGUCUACCAGAACACGUCCGACGGUGAGGGAUGAAAGCUGGGGGAGCAAACCGGAUUAGAUACCCGAGUAGUCC
This 274-nucleotide ribosomal RNA is filed under the name uncultured bacterium. Its description in RNAcentral is "partial 16S ribosomal RNA". It matches the Rfam family "Archaeal small subunit ribosomal RNA", at positions 473 to 747 of the family's 1478-position model. The record is from RNAcentral.